UACAGAGGGUGCGAGCGUUGUUCGGAAUUACUGGGCGUAAAGCGCGCGCAGGCGGCCCUUUAAGUCCAUCGGUCAAAUGCCGGAGCUCAACUCCGUGCGUGCCGAGGAUACUGGAGGGCUGGAGACACGUAGAGGCAAGCGGAAUUCCGGGUGUAGCGGUGGAAUGCGUAGAGAUCCGGAAGAACGACCGGAGGCGAAGGCGGCUUGCUGGGCGUGAUCGUGACGCUGAGGCGCGAAAGCGUGGGGAGCGAACAGG
Molecule: ribosomal RNA, 256 nt
Filed under: uncultured bacterium
Lineage: Bacteria
Description: partial 16S ribosomal RNA
Rfam family: Bacterial small subunit ribosomal RNA
Source: RNAcentral